RNAcentral lists this ribosomal RNA (502 nucleotides) under uncultured bacterium. RNAcentral describes it as "bacterial SSU rRNA". It matches the Rfam family "Bacterial small subunit ribosomal RNA", at positions 28 to 519 of the family's 1533-position model. The record is from RNAcentral.
GAUGAACGCUAGCGGCAGGCUUAAUACAUGCAAGUCGAGGGGCAGCAUGACUGUAGCAAUACAGUUGAUGGCGACCGGCAAACGGGUGCGGAACACGUACGCAACCUACCCAAAACUGAGGAAUAGCCCGGGGAAACCCGGAUUAAUACUUCGUAACAUAAUUGAAUGGCAUCAUUUAAUUAUUAUAGCUCCGGCGGUUUUGGAUGGGCGUGCGCCUGAUUAGGUAGUUGGAGGGUAACGGCCUACCAAGCCAACGAUCAGUAACUGGUGUGAGAGCACGACCAGUCACACGGGCACUGAGACACGGGCCCGACUCCUACGGGAGGCAGCAGUAAGGAAUAUUGGUCAAUGGACGCAAGUCUGAACCAGCCAUGCCGCGUGAAGGAUGAAGGUCCUCUGGAUUGUAAACUUUCUUUUAUAUGGGACCGAAACCCUCGGUAUUCUUCUGAGACUGACGGUACCAUAAGAAUAAGCACCGGCUAACUCCGUGCCAGCAGCCGCU